Molecule: ribosomal RNA, 216 nt
Filed under: uncultured bacterium
Lineage: Bacteria
Description: partial 16S ribosomal RNA
Rfam family: Bacterial small subunit ribosomal RNA
Source: RNAcentral
UACGUAGGGUGCGAGCGUUGUCCGGAAUUACUGGGCGUAAAGAGCUCGUAGGUGGUUUGUCGCGUCUGCUGUGAAAACCUAAGGCUCAACCUUGGGCUUGCAGUGGGUACGGGCAGACUAGAGUGCGGUAGGGGGUGACUGGAAUUCCUGGUGUAGCGGUGGAAUGCGUAGAGAUCCGGGAAGAACACCGGUGGCGAAGGCGGUCUGCUGGGCAGU